CUUUAACUCUCGCCGAUCGGUUGCAUCCAGCCGCAGCCGAUGUCGAACACACCUACUGGUUCAUUGUUUGGUUGUGCACAGGUGUCUCUUGUUUGCUCAUUAGUUUUGUGUAUAAAUAGCGCUCAUGUUUCAUUGUUCCUUAGUCUAGAUUUUUCAUGUAACCCACUGUUUGGUGAGCAUAUUCGUGUUCAUACCAAGUCUUGUGUCAAGUCUGUGAAAUCUCUUUUGGAUUAUAUUUUAUGUCACUUUAUUUCAUUAAACUGCUCCGGGGUUCUGCAAACUCAUCUACAGUGGACUUUGUUACAGCGUGCUGUCUAGAGGAGGGCUCUGAACUCGGAAUUUGGCCCGAUCCCAGAGUAUUCCACCCUACUUGACUGGGAAAGGAACCAGCCAAAUGUGAGGCGAUGGGGUGGUGGAGAGCUGCUGUUAAACUGUUGCGGGACAGAGAGCUCUGAGAACAGCCACAAGAAAAAACAACUGGAUGGAGAAGAAGAGGGAGAAAUGUGCCAUGAUGAAAAUAUAAUACAUGUCAAUCUGGGAAGAGAUCAGAGUCGUAAUACUGAUCCCACUGAAGACAAAUCCUGCCACCCAGGCAAUAACACAGCAGAUCACUCUAUAUCUGAGAGGUUUGAACUUCAGAAAGGUUACAGGAUGAACCACUGCCAGGUAACGCUCAACACAGAUCAGACACUGAAACAGAGGACGACCAGUGAUGGCUAGUGAAUUAAAAAACAUAACAGCUAUCCAAACAUGUUUAGUUUUAUAGCUGAUAAAAUCAAAGAGACAUUCCAUAGAAAAGAGGAUCUCACAGACGGAGAGGUUGAGACUGAAGAACUCUGCUGCAAGUCCAUUGCCUGUUCCUGUUAGUAUAAGCCAAACCACAUAGAAGUUGGUAGGAAGACCUAACAGAAUGAUGAUGAUAUUUAUCAGUGGGAACAUUGAAAACCUAUCUUCGAUAUCAGUGCCAUUAUAAAAUAAGUAAUCAGAAAAGUUUGAUCCAUCAGUGGUGAAGAUCUCACUGGAGAUGUUCAUCUCAUCUCUUUGUGCAGUCAAAAACACAACUGUGAUCUAUGAAUGAGAGAUACAAGUGUUAGUCCACCAGAACAUUCUGGAACUGUUCAGAGUAAAUCUGAUCAAAACUACUUUAAAUAACACAUUAGAAAAAGAGAACAGUUCUGUUUUAAUUAACAGGUUAUUGUACAUCAGUCCUGUGCUUCAGUCUACAAAGAUGGAAUGAUCGAUUCUGAGGGGGGAAAAAAUGGUAUGAUUCAUGCAAGUUUGAAAGCAAAAUAAAUCAUUCAAAAAUAGUGCACAGAGAACUUUAGUCACUAAGCUGGACUGUCUGCCUUCCAAGUUGAUGUGUUAAUGUGAUGAAACUUGUACUUCUUUACCAGGCUUGAAGCUUUGAAAAAUGACAUGCAAAUACACACAAGUGACAUCAUAUUUGCUUCAAAAGACCAACUGUGUUAUAACGAGAGGUUAGAUUCGAGAAAAAAAAAGUUCUUGAAUCAGUUCAUGUAAGUACAAGUAAACAAAUAAUAAUUUCAACAUUGACAAAAAGACAAAGUUCAGAAAGUCAUUGAAGGAUCACCUGAUUUUAAUAACCAUCUAUUUACAGAUGAACUCAAUCGUAAUACUGAAAGCAUUUUCUCUGGGAUUUACUUUUUUUUUUUUUUUUUUUAAUCUGCACAGUUCUUCUUCUACCUCUCCAUCCAGUUGUUUUGUGUUGUGGCUUUUCUCAGACCUCUGAAGCAGUCAGGACAAGGAGAGAGAAGAAGAGCUUGCUGCUCUAUAUAGUAAAUACUUUAGGUCAGAGAAUAUAAAUUUGCAGAACAAUGGGUCCCCAGGAGCAGGGUUGAAGACCUUUUCUUUAGAUAUACAAAGCUUUCAUAUUACUUAUGAAUGGGAGAAAGUGCAAUGUGCAAUAGAGUGCAACAGUCGGGUCCCGGAAGUAAAAACUCAACUUAUUUUCUCCAUAGGGAAAUUGAUUUUUUUAAAGACAAAUCUACUGUGGGCUCCAAGGGUGUUAAACCUAGUAUUUGAUUCUGUUGAAUCAUUAUUUCAGCUUAUUUAUAUAUAGAGCUUAAAAUGUCAUCUUAUUGUAUUGUCAGGUGCCAGAUAAAACAGAUGACACCUGUGCUUAAACCCAAUAAAAAGAGCAUACUGGACAGAAACGAUCAUCAAAAGUGCUUGCGUUUGCAGCGCACACUUCAUAUAAGAGCUCUGAGAACAGCCACAUAACAGAACAACUGAAUGGAGAGGAAGAGGAUGAACUGUACAAGAAAAAAAGUAAAGUACAACUCUGAGAGAAGGAACCAUAAAGUCACAAUACUGACCCCACCAGAGCCAAAACCUGCCACCCAGACAAUAAAAGAGCAGAUCACUCUAUAUCUGAGAGGUUUGUACUUCAGAAAGGUUACAGGAUGAACCACUGCCAGGUAACGCUCAACACAGAUCAGACACUGAAACAGAGGACGUCCAGUCAUGGCAAGUGCUUCUAGGAAACACGUAAGAAUCCAGAGAUCUCCAACUUUAUAGCCAAUAAGAACCAAGGGAGGUUGCAUAGAUAUAAGGAUCUCACAGACAGCGAGGUUGAGACUGAAGAACUCUGCUGCAAGUCCAUUGCCUGUUCCUGUUAUUAUAAGCCAAAUCACAUAGGAGUUGGUAGGAAAGCCCAACAGAACGGUGAUUAUACCUACAAGUGAGGAUGUUUCAAAAACAAUCUUCUCCUCAGUGGUGUUGAAAAAGAAGUGAUCAGAAGAGUUUGAUCCAUCAGUGGGGAAGAUCUCACUGGAGAUGUUCAUCUCUUCACUGUUUGCAGUCAAAAACACAACUGAGAUCUAUGAAUGAGAGACACAAGUGAACAUUCUGGAACUGUACAGAGUAAACUUGAUCAAAACUACUUUAAAUAGCACACAUUAGAAAAAGAGAACAGUUCUGUUAUUACUUGGUUAUUUUACCUAAAUAUUAGUGAACAAAAUUAUAUCUAUAGUCACGUAUAGCUAGACUUAGUCACUUAUAGCUGGACUGUCUGCCUUCCAAGUUGAUCUGUUAAUGAGAUGAAACUUACUUAUUUCUAUCAGGCCCUGAAGCAUUGCAAAAUUCCAUGCAAAUACGUUAUGUGAUUAUAUCAUAUUUCAGUUCAUAUUUGCUUCAAAAGACCAGCUGUGUCAUGUAAGGGUGUCACAACAAGAUAAAAAAUGAUCUUGAAUCAGUUUAUCUCUAUACAUAAUUGCAAGUAAAUAAGCAAAAAAAAAAAAAAAAAAAAA
This is a long non-coding RNA of Megalobrama amblycephala (Wuchang bream), 3269 nucleotides long. RefSeq lists it as uncharacterized. Lineage: Eukaryota; Metazoa; Chordata; Actinopteri; Cypriniformes; Xenocyprididae. The record is from RefSeq and is a predicted model, not a curated record. The transcript is spliced from 3 exons.